AGCAGUCGCCGCGGGAAUACGGAGGGGGCAAGCGUUAUCCGGAAUUAUUGGGCGUAAAGGGUACGUAGGUGGCCUUUUAAGCGUAGGGUAUAAGGCAAUGGCUCAACCAUUGUUCGCCCUAUGAACUGGAAGGCUUGAGUGCAGGAGAGGAAAGCGGAAUUCCUAGUGUAGCGGUGGAAUGCAUAGAUAUUAGGAGGAACAUCAGCGGCGAAGGCGGCUUUCUGGACUGCAACUGACACUGAGGUACGAAAGCGUGGGGAGCAAACAGGAUUAGAUACCCCCGUAGUCCCUGUCUCUUAUACA
This 303-nucleotide ribosomal RNA is filed under the name uncultured bacterium. Its description in RNAcentral is "partial 16S ribosomal RNA". It matches the Rfam family "Bacterial small subunit ribosomal RNA", at positions 507 to 808 of the family's 1533-position model. The record is from RNAcentral.